This 514-nucleotide ribosomal RNA is filed under the name uncultured bacterium. Its description in RNAcentral is "bacterial SSU rRNA". It matches the Rfam family "Bacterial small subunit ribosomal RNA", at positions 8 to 521 of the family's 1533-position model. The record is from RNAcentral.
AGAGUUUGAUCCUGGCUCAGGACGAACGCUGGCGGCAUGCUUAACACAUGCAAGUCGAACGAGAAUCUGCGGAUCGAGGAUUCGUCCAAGUGAAGCAGAGGACAGUGGCGGACGGGUGAGUAACGCGUGAGGAACCUGCCUUUCAGAGGGGGACAACAGUUGGAAACGACUGCUAAUACCGCAUAACGCGUAGAGGUCGCAUGGCCUUUACGCCAAAGAUUUAUCGCUGAAAGAUGGCCUCGCGUCUGAUUAGCUAGUUGGUGAGGUAACGGCCCACCAAGGCGACGAUCAGUAGCCGGACUGAGAGGUUGAACGGCCACAUUGGGACUGAGAUACGGCCCAGACUCCUACGGGAGGCAGCAGUGGGGAAUAUUGGGCAAUGGGCGCAAGCCUGACCCAGCAAUGCCGCGUGAAGGAAGAAGGCUUUCGGGUUGUAAACUUCUUUUGUCAGGGACGAGUAGAAGACGGUACCUGACGAAUAAGCCACGGCUAACUACGUGCCAGCAGCCGCGGU